GAGGCUAUAGCUCAGUGGUAGAGCGCCUGCUUAGCAUGCACGAGGUCCUGGGUUCAACCCCUGGCACCUCCA
Molecule: transfer RNA, 72 nt
Filed under: Camelus bactrianus (Bactrian camel)
Lineage: Eukaryota; Metazoa; Chordata; Mammalia; Artiodactyla; Camelidae
Also listed under: 3 other names
Rfam family: tRNA
About the family: Transfer RNA (tRNA) molecules are approximately 80 nucleotides in length. Their secondary structure includes four short double-helical elements and three loops (D, anti-codon, and T loops).
Source: Rfam by way of RNAcentral